This 497-nucleotide ribosomal RNA is filed under the name uncultured bacterium. RNAcentral describes it as "partial 16S ribosomal RNA". It matches the Rfam family "Bacterial small subunit ribosomal RNA", at positions 28 to 507 of the family's 1533-position model. The record is from RNAcentral.
GAUGAACGCUGGCGGCGUGCCUAAUACAUGCAAGUCGAGCGAACAGACGAGGAGCUUGCUCCUUCGACGUUAGCGGCGGACGGGUGAGUAACACGUAGGUAACCUACCUAUAAGACUGGGAUAACUUCGGGAAACCGGAGCUAAUACCGGAUAAUAUUUCGAACCGCAUGGUUCGAUAGUGAAAGAUGGCUUUGCUAUCACUUAUAGAUGGACCUGCGCCGUAUUAGCUAGUUGGUAAGGUAACGGCUUACCAAGGCAACGAUACGUAGCCGACCUGAGAGGGUGAUCGGCCACACUGGAACUGAGACACGGUCCAGACUCCUACGGGAGGCAGCAGUAGGGAAUCUUCCGCAAUGGGGGAAAGCCUGACGGAGCAACGCCGCGUGAGUGAUGAAGGUCUUCGGAUCGUAAAACUCUGUUAUUAGGGAAGAACAAACGUGUAAGUAACUGUGCACGUCUUGACGGUACCUAAUCAGAAAGCCACGGCUAACUACGUG